This 496-nucleotide ribosomal RNA is filed under the name uncultured bacterium. Its description in RNAcentral is "bacterial SSU rRNA". It matches the Rfam family "Bacterial small subunit ribosomal RNA", at positions 30 to 528 of the family's 1533-position model. The record is from RNAcentral.
AUUGAACGCUGGUGGCAUGCUUAACACAUGCAAGUCGAACGGUAACAGGUCUUCGGAUGCUGACGAGUGGCGGACGGGUGAGUAACGCGUAGGAAUCUGCCCAUUUGAGGGGGAUACCAGUUGGAAACGACUGUUAAUACCGCAUAAUAUCUGUGGAUUAAAGGUGGCUUAGGCUGCCGCAGAUGGAUGAGCCUGCGUUGGAUUAGCUAGUUGGUGGGGUAAGGGCCUACCAAGGCUACGAUCCAUAGCUGAUUUGAGAGGAUGAUCAGCCACAUUGGGACUGAGACACGGCCCAAACUCCUACGGGAGGCAGCAGUGGGGAAUAUUGGACAAUGGGGGAAACCCUGAUCCAGCAAUGCCAUGUGUGUGAAGAAGGCUCUAGGGUUGUAAAGCACUUUAGUUGGGGAGGAAAGCCUAUGAGUUAAUAGCUUGUAGGAAGACGUUACCCAAAGAAUAAGGACCGGCUAACUCCGUGCCAGCAGCCGCGGUAAAGUAG